This 458-nucleotide ribosomal RNA is filed under the name uncultured bacterium. Its description in RNAcentral is "bacterial SSU rRNA". It matches the Rfam family "Bacterial small subunit ribosomal RNA", at positions 340 to 786 of the family's 1533-position model. The record is from RNAcentral.
UACGGGAGGCAGCAGUGGGGAAUAUUGCACAAUGGGCGAAAGCCUGAUGCAGCUAUGCCGCGUGUAUGAAGAAGGCCUUAGGGUUGUAAAGUACUUUCAUCGGGGAGGAAAAAACAAAACUAAUAAUUUUAUUUCUUGACGUUACCCGAAAAAGAAGCACCGGCUAACUCCGUGCCAGCAGCCGCGGUAAUACGGAGGGUGCUAGCGUUAAUCAGAAUUACUGGGCGUAAAGAGCACGUAGGUGGUUUUUUUAAGUCAGAUGUGAAAUCCCUGGGCUUAACCUAGGAACUGCAUUUUGAAACUGAAAUACUAGAGUAUCGUAGAGGGAGGUAGAAUUCUAGGUGUAGCGGUGAAAUGCGUAGAUAUCUGGAGGAAUACCUGUGGCGAAAGCGGCCUCCUAAACGAAUACUGACACUGAGGUGCGAAAGCGUGGGGAGCGAAACAGGGAUUAGGAUACC